Molecule: ribosomal RNA, 459 nt
Filed under: uncultured bacterium
Lineage: Bacteria
Description: partial 16S ribosomal RNA
Rfam family: Bacterial small subunit ribosomal RNA
Source: RNAcentral
CCUACGGGUGGCAGCAGUGAGGAAUAUUGGUCAAUGGGCGCGAGCCUGAACCAGCCAAGUCGCGUGAGGGAAGACGGUCCUAUGGAUUGUAAACCUCUUUUGUCGGGGAGCAAAAGCCGCCACGCGUGGCGUUCCGAGAGUACCCGAAGAAAAAGCAUCGGCUAACUCCGUGCCAGCAGCCGCGGUAAUACGGAGGAUGCGAGCGUUAUCCGGAUUUAUUUGUUUUAAAGGGUGCGCAGGCGGAAGAUCAAGUCAGCGGUAAAAGUGAGAGGCACAACCUCUUCGAGACGUUGAAACUGGUAUUCAUGAGUGUGAGAGAAGUAUGCGGAAUGCGAGGUGUAGCGGGGAAAUGCAGAGAUAUCACGCAGAACUCCGAUUGCGAAGGCAGCAUAACGGCGCUAAACUGACGCUCAUGCACGAAAGUGUGGGUAUCGAACAGGAUUAGAUACCCUUGUAGUC